UCAACACAUACCCCCCAGUUUCGGAGUAAAACAUAGUCUUUACUUCGAAAUUCUUUUCAACUUCCCUUCCGAAACAACCGCAAUGAAAAUAUCCUUCCGUUUCGCGGUCUUCAACCUGAUGAUUGCAAUCUUUUCGAAAUGGGCGCCCACGACAACCAUUACUCCCGAAAAACUCGAAACGCCGGCGCGGUAAAAAUUCCAUUUUUACCCUUCCUCAGGCCCCCUUUAAAUAUCAGCACAUCCCGCACUUCCCUUUCGAGCUCACGUCCUUCUUCCUCAGCGCGCGAGCCUUCUUCUUCCUCCAGCACUUUUCCUUAGUUCCACAGCUUUCCGGCACCAUCUUCCUGUCGCUUUUCU
RNAcentral lists this long non-coding RNA (357 nucleotides) under Setaria italica (foxtail millet). RNAcentral's name for it is "long non-coding RNA (SITA_LNC001241)". Lineage: Eukaryota; Viridiplantae; Streptophyta; Magnoliopsida; Poales; Poaceae. The record is from RNAcentral.